GCGAACGCUGGCGGCAGGCCUAAUACAUGCAAGUCGAACGGUCUCUUCGGAGGCAGUGGCGGACGGGUGAGUAACGCGUGGGAAUAUGCCCUUUGGUACGGAACAACUGAGGGAAACUUCAGCUAAUACCGUAUGUGCCCUUCGGGGGAAAGAUUUAUCGCCAUUGGAGUAGCCCGCGUUGGAUUAGGUAGUUGGUGGGGUAAAGGCCUACCAAGCCUACGAUCCAUAGCUGGUCUGAGAGGAUGAUCAGCCACACUGGGACUGAGACACGGCCCAGACUCCUACGGGAGGCAGCAGUAGGGAAUCUUGCGCAAUGGGCGAAAGCCUGACGCAGCCAUGCCGCGUGAAUGAUGAAGGUCUUAGGAUUGUAAAAUUCUUUCACCGGGGAAGAUAAUGACGGUACCCGGAGAAGAAGCCCCGGCUAACUUCGU
RNAcentral lists this ribosomal RNA (431 nucleotides) under uncultured bacterium. RNAcentral's name for it is "bacterial SSU rRNA". It matches the Rfam family "Bacterial small subunit ribosomal RNA", at positions 29 to 506 of the family's 1533-position model. The record is from RNAcentral.